AUGCUUGCAGUUGCCAUAUCUUUACUAAAAUUAGAACCAUACAGAGAAGAUUAGUAUCAUCCCUUGACAAGGAUGGCAGGCAAGCCCAUUAAAAAAAAAAACAAAAACUC
Small nuclear RNA from Urocitellus parryii (Arctic ground squirrel), 110 nucleotides. NCBI's taxonomy places the organism in Eukaryota, Metazoa, Chordata, Mammalia, Rodentia, Sciuridae. The record is from Ensembl.